GACGAACGCUGGCGGCGUGCCUAAUACAUGCAAGUAGAACGCUGAAGAGAGGAGCUUGCUCUUCUUGGAUGAGUUGCGAACGGGUGAGUAACGCGUAGGUAACCUGCCUUGUAGCGGGGGAUAACUAUUGGAAACGGUAGCUAAUACCGCAUAACAAUGGAUGACACAUGUCAUUUAUUUGAAAGGGGCAAUUGCUCCACUACAAGAUGGACCUGCGUUGUAUUAGCUAGUAGGUGAGGUAAUGGCUCACCUAGGCGACGAUACAUAGCCGACCUGAGAGGGUGAGCAGCCAGACUGAGAGGGAGACCCGGCACAGACGCCUACGGGAGGCGGCAGUAGGGAAUCGUGAGCAAUGGGGGCAGCACAGAGCGAGCAACGCCGAGUGAGGGAGGAAGGUUUUCGGGUGGGAGAGCUCUGUUGUAAGGCAGGAACGGGUGUGAGAGUGGAAAGUACACACUGUGACGGUAGCUUACCAGAAAGGAACGGCUAACUACGUG
RNAcentral lists this ribosomal RNA (497 nucleotides) under uncultured bacterium. Its description in RNAcentral is "partial 16S ribosomal RNA". It matches the Rfam family "Bacterial small subunit ribosomal RNA", at positions 28 to 507 of the family's 1533-position model. The record is from RNAcentral.